This 361-nucleotide unclassified non-coding RNA is filed under the name Hevea brasiliensis (rubber tree). Lineage: Eukaryota; Viridiplantae; Streptophyta; Magnoliopsida; Malpighiales; Euphorbiaceae. The record is from RNAcentral.
GCCGUGUUUGUCUUUUCAUGAAUCUGAACGGAAGCAUCAGCCAGGACAUCACACAUAUUAGCAUUACCGCUGUUUGCCUUUACAGCAGGAAGUGAUGGUUCACCAUCACAAGAGUUUUUUGCGCAUCUUUCAUUCGUGUUAGACGGAGGAGAGGUAUCAUAUUGGCUUGGAGGUUCUGGUAAUACUUUUCGAUUUGACAAUUUCUCAUUUUUCGCAGGACUGGAUCGACCUGAAUUUAAUUCUUCACAAAACUCGGAGCCUUUUAGAACGUAUUCAGUAGUACGAGCAGGAAGAAUCAAAUCAUCUUCAGAAAGAUCAUGCCACACAAAUCUAUUCUUGUAGCUUCUCUUGCAGGACCAAG